AUUGAACGCUGGCGGCAUGCCUUACACAUGCAAGUCGAACGGUAACAGGUCUUCGGAUGCUGACGAGUGGCGAACGGGUGAGUAAUACAUCGGAACGUGCCCGAUCGUGGGGGAUAACGGAGCGAAAGCUUUGCUAAUACCGCAUACGAUCUACGGAUGAAAGCAGGGGACCGCAAGGCCUUGCGCGGACGGAGCGGCCGAUGGCAGAUUAGGUAGUUGGUGGGAUAAAAGCUUACCAAGCCGACGAUCUGUAGCUGGUCUGAGAGGACGACCAGCCACACUGGGACUGAGACACGGCCCAGACUCCUACGGGAGGCAGCAGUGGGGAAUUUUGGACAAUGGGCGAAAGCCUGAUCCAGCCAUGCCGCGUGCAGGAUGAAGGCCUUAGGGUUGUAAACUGCUUUUGUACGGAACGAAAAGACUCUUUCUAAUAAAGAGGGUCCAUGACGGUACCGUAAGAAUAAGCACCGGCUAACUACGUG
RNAcentral lists this ribosomal RNA (482 nucleotides) under uncultured bacterium. Its description in RNAcentral is "partial 16S ribosomal RNA". It matches the Rfam family "Bacterial small subunit ribosomal RNA", at positions 30 to 507 of the family's 1533-position model. The record is from RNAcentral.